AACUCUAGAUUAAAUUCCUCCCGCGGUUAGCCUGACCUGUGCCCGGGACUCAGUGGGGACAGCCACGCAAGUUAAACUCUAGAUUAAAUUCCUCCCGCGGUUAGCCUGACCCGUGCCCGGGACUCAGUGGAGUCAGCCACACAAGUUAAACUCUAGAUUAAAUUCCUCCCGCGGUUAGCCUGACCCGUGCCCGGGACUCAGUGGGGACAGCCACGCAAGUUAAACUCUAGAUUAAAUUCCUCCCGCGGUUAGCCUGACCCGUGCCCGGGACUCAGUGGGGACAGCCACACAAGUUAAACUCUAGAUUAAAUUCCUCCCGCGGUUAGCCUGACCCGUGCCCGGGACUCAGUGGAGUCAGCCACGCAAGUUAGACUCUAGAUUAAAUUCCUCCCGCGGUUAGCCUGACCCGUGCCCGGGACUCAGUGGAGUCAGCCACACAAGUUAGACUCUAGAUUAAAUUCCUCCCGCGGUUAGCCUGACCCGUGCCCGGGACUCAGUGGGGACAGCCACACAAGUUAGACUCUAGAUUAAAUUCCUCCCGCGGUUAGCCUGACCCGUGCCCGGGACUCAGUGGAGUCAGCCACGCAAGUUAGACUCUAGAUUAAAUUCCUCCCGCGGUUAGCCUGACCCGUGCCCGGGACUCAGUGGGGACAGCCACGCAAGUUAGACUCUAGAUUAAAUUCCUCCCGCGGUUAGCCUGACCCGUGCCCGGGACUCAGUGGAGUCAGCCACGCAAGUUAGACUCUAGAUUAAAUUCCUCCCGCGGUUAGCCUGACCCAUGCCCGGGACUCAGUGGGGACAGCCACGCAAGUUAGACUCUAGAUUAAAUUCCUCCCGCGGUUAGCCUGACCCGUGCCCGGGACUCAGUGGGGACAGCCACACAAGUUAGACUCUAGAUUAAAUUCCUCCCGCGGUUAGCCUGACCCGUGCCCGGGACUCAGUGGAGUCAGCCACGCAAGUUAGACUCUAGAUUAAAUUCCUCCCGCGGUUAGCCUGACCCGUGCCCGGGACUCAGUGGAGUCAGCCACACAAGUUAGACUCUAGAUUAAAUUCCUCCCGCGGUUAGCCUGACCCGUGCCCGGGACUCAGUGGAGUCAGCCACACAAGUUAAACUCUAGAUUAAAUUCCUCCCGCGGUUAGCCUGACCUGUGCCCGGGACUCAGUGGAGUCAGCCACACAAGUUAAACUCUAGAUUAAAUUCCUCCCGCGGUUAGCCUGACCCGUGCCCGGGACUCAGUGGAGUCAGCCACGCAAGUUAGACUCUAGAUUAAAUUCCUCCCGCGGUUAGCCUGACCCGUGCCCGGGACUCAGUGGAGUCAGCCACGCAAGUUAAACUCUAGAUUAAAUUCCUCCCGCGGUUAGCCUGACCCGUGCCCGGGACUCAGUGGGGACAGCCACACAAGUUAAACUCUAGAUUAAAUUCCUCCCGCGGUUAGCCUGACCCGUGCCCGGGACUCAGUGGGGACAGCCACGCAAGUUAGACUCUAGAUUAAAUUCCUCCCGCGGUUAGCCUGACCCGUGCCCGGGACUCAGUGGAGUCAGCCACACAAGUUAAACUCUAGAUUAAAUUCCUCCCGCGGUUAGCCUGACCCGUGCCCGGGACUCAGUGGGGACAGCCACGCAAGUUAGACUCUAGAUUAAAUUCCUCCCGCGGUUAGCCUGACCCGUGCCCGGGACUCAGUGGAGUCAGCCACCCCAGACCUCUCUCACUGUUAUCAUUUUUGCACAGGUGGUUUCAGCAGCUUGAUGCCAAAAAAAAAAAAAAAAAAGGAAAAGCAUUCUGAAAAGCC
RNAcentral lists this long non-coding RNA (1790 nucleotides) under Homo sapiens (human). RNAcentral's name for it is "non-protein coding lnc-PCNT-2:2". Lineage: Eukaryota; Metazoa; Chordata; Mammalia; Primates; Hominidae. The record is from RNAcentral.